GACUUGACGGUACUUUAAACCCACCUAGAGGAGCCUGUCCUAUAAUUGAAGAUACACGAUCCACCUAACCCCUCCUAGCCUCUCAGUCUGUAUACCGCCGUCGCAAACUUGUCCCACUGAAGGAAACAAAACGAGUACAACAGCCUCCCAGGCUAAUACGUCAGGUCAAGGUGCAACUAACGGAGCGGAAGAGAUGUGCUACAUUUUCUAAAAUAGAAAUACGUAACAGAACGCCCUAUGAAA
Molecule: ribosomal RNA, 243 nt
Filed under: Paleosuchus trigonatus (Schneider's dwarf caiman)
Lineage: Eukaryota; Metazoa; Chordata; Crocodylia; Alligatoridae
Description: partial 12S ribosomal RNA
Source: RNAcentral